Molecule: long non-coding RNA, 1840 nt
Organism: Grammomys surdaster
Lineage: Eukaryota; Metazoa; Chordata; Mammalia; Rodentia; Muridae
Exons: 2
Source: RefSeq, a predicted model, not a curated record
CAUGGAAUCAUCUCUCUUCUCUCUGGAUGCUGGAGUUAAGGCUCCCAUUCCUCACGUGGGGUUUGGAAUAUAUAUGCCCAGAGUGGGUCCUCGGAGUUGGGGCAUGACUGGGCACUGAGCCUUUCUCUAGUCCUGUCUUAGAUACCAUUGCUUAGGCUCUUCGUUACCAUGGCUGCCAGGCUGUGGGAGAGGCGAGGAUGACCCACAGCCCAAGUCUGUCGUCAGUGGCGCCCAAAUAAGAAGCGAGAGAGGGAAGCAGUCGGUGUCUAGCCACCACAGAAGGAGCCUGGGGCUCCACAUUCGGACAUGAGACACUACCUGUGUGAUUUACAUACAUCAUAACGAACCUUAUGAGACAGGUACCAUGUUAUUAUCUCUUCCAGAGGAGGAGGAAACUGAGACACAGACAGAAAGCACCUUGCCAGGAGGGUUGCUCAGUGACAAAGCUGUCCAAACAAGGCAGCCCCGUUCUGGAAGUUCUGCCUAACUCUGUGAUGCUGACUUCAAUUCUUCAUCUUCUUAUCCAAGAAAGGACCCUCCUCCAAUGGGAUCCUGUGCCACCUCAGGAUCUAUGGGUCUAUGAAGGAGCCACCUGCCUGCUCCAGAGGAUUAGUGAAUACCCUGUUGACAGACCUCCUUUGUGCUGAUAUAGAGGUAGAUACCUCUCCCCCACAACCCCAGUUUGUGCAAGUCCAACUGCCUCUGGCCUCCAGGUGAGAAGCUACCACAGGGAGCUGAAGUUCUCACCUAAGCAAGAAGGCGCUAGAAAACCCAGAGCGAGUGUGAGCCCGGAAAAGGCAUUUUCUCUAAGUCCUUGGCAUGAUUUCCUCAAAUCUUAGGAUUUCAGAGCUGGAAGAGGCCUCAUGUUCUGGAAAAGACCUGUGUGGUCCAAGCCCUCCUGCCUGCGACAGCAGCCAGAGAGGGAAAGAUUGCCCCAGAAUGGGCUUAGGAACCCAGGACUCUUGACAAAAGACUGCUAAUUCAGCAGCUGGCAGCUGGGGAGAGGACUGCCUGAUUCCUCUGCGGUUCCACAGUUUCUCCAGGGAGGUAUGGGUAGUCCUGGGUGCCUCCCUGUGGGAUGGUGAUGCCCUCUGCUGGUCAUGAGCCUUGUGGAAAUAUCUCCAGACUCAAAGCCGGCUGUUGCCCGGCCCCACCUGGAAACCCUGCCAUAUUUUCGGAUCCUAUGGAACAUUUAUUCCUCCUAGGAGGAUCAGCAGUGAGUUGGUCACUGAGUUCACAAUGAGGAAGUUGUGAGGAGGGAGAUGCUGCCGGUGAAAUGCACUCCACAGCACGGCUCCAGAGCUCAACCUUCUCUCUCCCAUCUCCUCCUAAGCCACGCCCCUUGCCUAGCAUCUGUUCUCCUCCAAUGAGCCUUCCCCAGGCCUCCUGCCACUCCAGAAUGUCCCUUACCAACUUGUGCCUCUUAGCAAAUCCCCUGUGGAUCUGCUCCUGAGACAUCGAUACUUUGUCUGCAACUUAUGUCGGAGCAGGUGUCGUGUUCCCAGGGAGUUCAGGUUUCCCAGCUCUUUGACUCCAGCUGCCCCGGCUGAGAUGGGUUUAAGGGGUGGGGGGAACUUUGGGAUUAGUAGGGACUGUCUAACGACAAAGCCCCUUCUCACUUCUUUAGGGACAACCCCUUGCUAAGUCUCCCACCAAUCCACAAUCCUUUGUGAGAAGCUGGAGGAAGUGACUCCUGUGACCCCACAGACCUACUUAAACUCUGGGGAACCCUCGGGAAGGUGGAGCACUAGAGCCAUGAACGUUCAGACCCUGUAGAGUCUCAGUGAGUCAGUUACUUCAGGGCACAGAACUAGCAAGGAUGAAUAAAUAGCUCUGUGGA